Homo sapiens (human) is the source of this 1394-nucleotide long non-coding RNA. Ensembl annotates it as long intergenic non-protein coding RNA 1255. The record is from Ensembl. NCBI's taxonomy places the organism in Eukaryota, Metazoa, Chordata, Mammalia, Primates, Hominidae.
ACGGCAACUGUGCAGAGAGGCUUGCAGGUCCAAACCACUGGUAGCAGCCCCUGGUAUAUCCAGGACAUCAGCACAUAGAACCAGUGAAAGGGUCCUCCCUCAUAGUGACGCAUGUCAUAGACUCAGAUUUAUACAAACAAAUGCUGAGCAAACCAUGAAGAGUCUCUGGUAUUUUCAACAAUAUCAUCACAGAGGAACUGUAUUGAUUUCCUUCUCCAGCCUGGAUCUCCAGAUCUCCAAGGCUCCCCAUCUCGACUAUCAGACUGUGGGACACUUUCAUUGGAAAUUCUGAGAAGCACAGCCUUAGGUGUUGGAGGUUUAUGAUAAUGAAGAAAGAAAACUCAGAGGACAUCUCUGAAACUACACAGCCAGGCCUAGUGGAGAAAUGAAGUAGGCUCCGUACUGUCUGAGCCCCACACAGCUCAUGGUCUCUCCCCAUCUUACUGGACCAUGAGGACCCUUCAUCAGCAGAUGCCCACGACUGCCCCUCCACUGAUGCCAUUAUUGCCAUGAUGCAGCUUCUCUGUCUCUGCCCCCUCCUCCAUCCAAGUCUUUCCCUUCUCCCUCUUAUGAUACAACCCCUUUGUUUUUACUGAUUGAUCUUAUGACACAUCCCUUUUAUUUUUACCAGUUGACUCAUCUGACAUUUUUUCAAUGUAAAACAUUGAAAAAAAUUGGAUAAAAUAUGUCCCUGCCAUUGGAUUACACAUUAAUUUCUGAAGUCAAUCUUCCUGAGGUUACCGAGAAUCUUUUAUGACAUUGAAAAAAUGUCAGAUGUGUCAACUGAUAACUACUCAAUAUGCAACCUCACCACAGAACGGCUGAAGCACCUUGUAAACAAAUUACAUCUCAUAUUCGGCCACUGUUGGUUAAUGCCCCAAGCUGGGCCAGUCAGUUUGAGGCAAUGCACCUGGCCUUUGUGAGUGUGCAGCUUGUCUUGAGAAAAGACAUUGGGCGUACAUAAGAUUCCCAAAAGUUCUCAUGACUUGCAGACAUGUCAACAGCAUUGCUCUAGUGAAGAGUGCUUUAGAGAAGAGAGAGGCUUGUAACACCAGCUGCCAUCUGCACUGGUGCCGCGCCAGGCACUGUGCUGAGAACUUUACAGCCAUGAUCUCAUUUAAUUCCUCUUAAACAUCCAAGUUGAAGUUGUGUCCUAUUUUAUAUCAUAAAUGUCAUUAUAUCAAAAAAUAUAUUUUUCCUGUGCAACAUAUAUGUUGUGCAUAUUCCAGUACAUAAACUUUUAACAGCUUGCAUAGCAUCCUCAGAUUUCAAUAUGAUUUUUAAAUACCCCACUCAGAAGAAAUUUAAUGUUUCUUUCAUCAUACUCUGAGUCAGCUUAAAUCACUAUGUUUUUAAUUAUUCCACUUUCACGGAAAAAUACAAAGUGAUGAAAA